RNAcentral lists this small RNA (115 nucleotides) under Salmonella enterica subsp. enterica serovar Infantis. Its description in RNAcentral is "partial RtT sRNA". It matches the Rfam family "RtT RNA", at positions 20 to 130 of the family's 130-position model. From Rfam's summary of the family: This family represents a bacterial cis-regulatory element known as RtT RNA. The exact function of RtT is unknown although it is thought that it may be involved in changing the cellular response in relation to amino acid starvation. RNAcentral also lists the same sequence under 5 other names. The record is from RNAcentral. Lineage: Bacteria; Pseudomonadati; Pseudomonadota; Gammaproteobacteria; Enterobacterales; Enterobacteriaceae.
GGAUGAGAACCUCCGGGGGCAAGAGGUUCGACCCGAGCGAAGCGAGAGAACGUUGCGUCAGCAACGGCCCGCAGGGCGAGCCACGCAGUGGCGAGUCAUCCUCUAUCACCGACCA